GAGAUAACGGAGGUGGCCAACACAUAGGCUGCGAUGUAGCCGUGCAACGCAGAGCAAAGUUCGAUAGUGCCAGAUUGAAUUUAUUUCACAAACUUUGCCUUCGAUGAAGUCGAUGCCCGAUACCUGUAUGUUUGCAUCCAUAAUCAAAGAAAAAGAGAAUUAGGACCCCCAAAUUGAUAGGAACAACUAUAGGAGUGCAUUAAUAUCUGUGAAAUUGAGAAUAAAAAUGAGGAUUUAGUGGAUUUGUCGUGGCUGCAGCUGUCAAAAUGCCUGUAAAUCUUUUUUGAUAUUUUUCUGAUUUAAGCUCGCCGGACCAGAGACUGAGUGGGGCUGAGGAUCAUUUGGGAACGGUGAUGGAAUCUGGAGCUUAGGGACGACUGCAGCCGUCUUUUUUACCGGAAUCCUUGAAGAUAAGCGAGAGAUCGAGAUCUGCGAGCUGCACUGGGCUCCGGCGCCGCCUCCACCGGCACGGCGAGGCAAAGGGCGGCCCCCAUCUGCGACUCCGAAUCCUGUUCGUGGAAGACCCAAUUUCCCAAUUUUUCCACCUUGGAGGAAGAUUUUCCAUCGAUCUGGGUAGAAUGACCUUUUUUCCCCUCUUGGUUGAAAAUGAACAGUAUGUGGGAAUAGAAGUUCACUCGAAUUUGAAAAACCCACAAAUCAUAAGAUCUAUUCACGCCUCAUACGAACCCAACAGAAAAUCCCAUAAAUCUUGUCACUAGAAUCUGGAAAACCGAAGAACCUAGACCUGAAUCCCAAUUUGAAAACCAAAAAACACAAACCCCAGUCGAACACCCUCUUUCUUUUUCUUCGAUGAACAGUAAUCAGGAAAAUGAUGAUUUUUU
RNAcentral lists this long non-coding RNA (842 nucleotides) under Salvia miltiorrhiza (redroot sage). RNAcentral's name for it is "long non-coding RNA (SMIL_LNC005347)". Lineage: Eukaryota; Viridiplantae; Streptophyta; Magnoliopsida; Lamiales; Lamiaceae. The record is from RNAcentral.